RNAcentral lists this ribosomal RNA (2362 nucleotides) under Escherichia sp. KTE114. Its description in RNAcentral is "bacterial LSU rRNA". It matches the Rfam family "Bacterial large subunit ribosomal RNA", at positions 585 to 2925 of the family's 2925-position model. The record is from RNAcentral. Lineage: Bacteria; Pseudomonadati; Pseudomonadota; Gammaproteobacteria; Enterobacterales; Enterobacteriaceae.
UUUAUGGGGUGACUGCGUACCUUUUGUAUAAUGGGUCAGCGACUUAUAUUCUGUAGCAAGGUUAACCGAAUAGGGGAGCCGAAGGGAAACCGAGUCUUAACUGGGCGUUAAGUUGCAGGGUAUAGACCCGAAACCCGGUGAUCUAGCCAUGGGCAGGUUGAAGGUUGGGUAACACUAACUGGAGGACCGAACCGACUAAUGUUGAAAAAUUAGCGGAUGACUUGUGGCUGGGGGUGAAAGGCCAAUCAAACCGGGAGAUAGCUGGUUCUCCCCGAAAGCUAUUUAGGUAGCGCCUCGUGAAUUCAUCUCCGGGGGUAGAGCACUGUUUCGGCAAGGGGGUCAUCCCGACUUACCAACCCGAUGCAAACUGCGAAUACCGGAGAAUGUUAUCACGGGAGACACACGGCGGGUGCUAACGUCCGUCGUGAAGAGGGAAACAACCCAGACCGCCAGCUAAGGUCCCAAAGUCAUGGUUAAGUGGGAAACGAUGUGGGAAGGCCCAGACAGCCAGGAUGUUGGCUUAGAAGCAGCCAUCAUUUAAAGAAAGCGUAAUAGCUCACUGGUCGAGUCGGCCUGCGCGGAAGAUGUAACGGGGCUAAACCAUGCACCGAAGCUGCGGCAGCGACGCUUAUGCGUUGUUGGGUAGGGGAGCGUUCUGUAAGCCUGUGAAGGUGGCCUGUGAGGGUUGCUGGAGGUAUCAGAAGUGCGAAUGCUGACAUAAGUAACGAUAAAGCGGGUGAAAAGCCCGCUCGCCGGAAGACCAAGGGUUCCUGUCCAACGUUAAUCGGGGCAGGGUGAGUCGACCCCUAAGGCGAGGCCGAAAGGCGUAGUCGAUGGGAAACAGGUUAAUAUUCCUGUACUUGGUGUUACUGCGAAGGGGGGACGGAGAAGGCUAUGUUGGCCGGGCGACGGUUGUCCCGGUUUAAGCGUGUAGGCUGGUUUUCCAGGCAAAUCCGGAAAAUCAAGGCUGAGGCGUGAUGACGAGGCACUACGGUGCUGAAGCAACAAAUGCCCUGCUUCCAGGAAAAGCCUCUAAGCAUCAGGUAACAUCAAAUCGUACCCCAAACCGACACAGGUGGUCAGGUAGAGAAUACCAAGGCGCUUGAGAGAACUCGGGUGAAGGAACUAGGCAAAAUGGUGCCGUAACUUCGGGAGAAGGCACGCUGAUAUGUAGGUGAAGCGACUUGCUCGUGGAGCUGAAAUCAGUCGAAGAUACCAGCUGGCUGCAACUGUUUAUUAAAAACACAGCACUGUGCAAACACGAAAGUGGACGUAUACGGUGUGACGCCUGCCCGGUGCCGGAAGGUUAAUUGAUGGGGUCAGCCGCAAGGCGAAGCUCUUGAUCGAAGCCCCGGUAAACGGCGGCCGUAACUAUAACGGUCCUAAGGUAGCGAAAUUCCUUGUCGGGUAAGUUCCGACCUGCACGAAUGGCGUAAUGAUGGCCAGGCUGUCUCCACCCGAGACUCAGUGAAAUUGAACUCGCUGUGAAGAUGCAGUGUACCCGCGGCAAGACGGAAAGACCCCGUGAACCUUUACUAUAGCUUGACACUGAACAUUGAGCCUUGAUGUGUAGGAUAGGUGGGAGGCUUUGAAGCGUGGACGCCAGUCUGCGUGGAGCCGACCUUGAAAUACCACCCUUUAAUGUUUGAUGUUCUAACGUGGACCCGUGAUCCGGGUUGCGGACAGUGUCUGGUGGGUAGUUUGACUGGGGCGGUCUCCUCCUAAAGAGUAACGGAGGAGCACGAAGGUUGGCUAAUCCUGGUCGGACAUCAGGAGGUUAGUGCAAUGGCAUAAGCCAGCUUGACUGCGAGCGUGACGGCGCGAGCAGGUGCGAAAGCAGGUCAUAGUGAUCCGGUGGUUCUGAAUGGAAGGGCCAUCGCUCAACGGAUAAAAGGUACUCCGGGGAUAACAGGCUGAUACCGCCCAAGAGUUCAUAUCGACGGCGGUGUUUGGCACCUCGAUGUCGGCUCAUCACAUCCUGGGGCUGAAGUAGGUCCCAAGGGUAUGGCUGUUCGCCAUUUAAAGUGGUACGCGAGCUGGGUUUAGAACGUCGUGAGACAGUUCGGUCCCUAUCUGCCGUGGGCGCUGGAGAACUGAGGGGGGCUGCUCCUAGUACGAGAGGACCGGAGUGGACGCAUCACUGGUGUUCGGGUUGUCAUGCCAAUGGCACUGCCCGGUAGCUAAAUGCGGAAGAGAUAAGUGCUGAAAGCAUCUAAGCACGAAACUUGCCCCGAGAUGAGUUCUCCCUGACUCCUUGAGAGUCCUGAAGGAACGUUGAAGACGACGACGUUGAUAGGCCGGGUGUGUAAGCGCAGCGAUGCGUUGAGCUAACCGGUACUAAUGAACCGUGAGGCUUAACCUU